RNAcentral lists this ribosomal RNA (510 nucleotides) under Deronectes latus. RNAcentral's name for it is "partial 16S ribosomal RNA". The stretch from base 384 to 510 matches the Rfam family "Bacterial large subunit ribosomal RNA", at positions 2473 to 2600 of the family's 2925-position model. Lineage: Eukaryota; Metazoa; Arthropoda; Insecta; Coleoptera; Dytiscidae. The record is from RNAcentral.
GUCCUUUAGAAGUUUAAUUUAAGGUCUAACCUGCCCACUGAUAUAUUUAAAGGCCGCAGUAAUUUGACUGUGCAAAGGUAGCAUAAUCAUUAGUUUUUUAAUUAAAAGCUUGUAUGAAUGGUUGGACGAAAUAAAAUCUGUCUCUAAAUAAAAAUUAGAAUUUAAUUUUUAAGUUAAAAAGCUUAAAUAUUUAUAAAAGACGAGAAGACCCUAUAGAUCUUUAUAUAAGAAUCUAUAUUUUUAUUUUAGAUGUUUUUAUUAACUAUAUUUUUUUAUAUUUUAUUGGGGUAAUAGGGAGAUUAUAUAAAUUCUUUUUAAAGUUUAACAAUAAUAAUUGAUUAAUUGAUCCAUUUAUAGUGAUUAUAAGAUUAAGUUACCUUAGGGAUAACAGCGUAAUUUUUUUAAAGAGUUCAUAUCGAUAAAAAAGUUUGCGACCUCGAUGUUGGAUUAAAAAUAAUUUUGGGUGUAGAAUUUGAAAAUUUUGGUCUGUUCGACCAUUAAAUUUUUACA